This 200-nucleotide ribosomal RNA is filed under the name uncultured bacterium. RNAcentral's name for it is "partial 16S ribosomal RNA". It matches the Rfam family "Bacterial small subunit ribosomal RNA", at positions 28 to 230 of the family's 1533-position model. The record is from RNAcentral.
GAUGAACGCUAGCGGGAGGCCUAACACAUGCAAGCCGAGCGGUAGAAGAUCUUCGGAUCUUUGAGAGCGGCGCACGGGUGCGGAACACGUGUGCAACCUGCCUUUAUCUGGGGGAUAGCCUUUCGAAAGGAAGAUUAAUACCCCAUAAUAUAAUGAACGGCAUCGUUUAUUAUUGAAAACUCCGGUGGAUAGAGAUGGGC